RNAcentral lists this ribosomal RNA (253 nucleotides) under uncultured prokaryote. Its description in RNAcentral is "partial 16S ribosomal RNA". It matches the Rfam family "Bacterial small subunit ribosomal RNA", at positions 524 to 776 of the family's 1533-position model. The record is from RNAcentral.
GACAGAGGAUGCAAGCGUUAUCCGGAAUGAUUGGGCGUAAAGCGUCUGUAGGUGGCUCUUUAAGUCCGCUGUCAAAUCCCAGGGCUCAACCCUGGAGAGGCGGUGGAAACUAUUGGGCUGGAGUACGGUAGGGGCAGAGGGAAUUUCCGGUGGAGCGGUGAAAUGCGUAGAGAUCGGAAAGAACACCAAAGGCGAAGGCACUCUGCUGGGCCGACACUGACACUGAGGGACGAAAGCUAGGGGAGCAAAUGGG